UUUCCGUAGGUGAACCUGCGGAAGGAUCAUUAAUGGGAAAUCAAAUCAAAACAAAUGUUCUGUUGCACUGGGUGUGCUGUGUGGUGGUGGUGUGAGACAUGGAGAUUCAAUCAUUGGAGAUUCAAUCAUUGGAGAUUCAAUCAUUAGAGAUUCGAUCAUUGGAGAUUCAAUCAUUCAAUCUCAAUCAUCGCCACACAACGCAACUAUCUAUCACACUCGAUCAACAACAACACACUCACACACAACAGCAAACAACUUUUAACAAUGGAUCUCUUGGCUCUU
This 282-nucleotide unclassified non-coding RNA is filed under the name plant metagenome. Its description in RNAcentral is "partial contains small subunit ribosomal RNA, internal transcribed spacer 1, and 5.8S ribosomal RNA". The record is from RNAcentral.